GUCUUGGGACACUGUCAGGUGGGCAGUUUGACUGGGGCGGUCGCCUCCCAAAAGGUAACGGAGGCGCUCAAAGGUUCUCUCAGUACGGUCGGAAAUCGUACGUAGAGUGUAAAGGCAAAAGAGAGCUUGAUUGCAAGACAUACAGGUCGAGCAAGGAUGAAAAUCGGACUUAGUGAUCCGGUGGUUCUGCGUGGAAGGGCCAUCGCUCAACGGAUAAAAGCUACCCUGGG
RNAcentral lists this ribosomal RNA (230 nucleotides) under Clostridioides difficile. Its description in RNAcentral is "partial 23S ribosomal RNA". It matches the Rfam family "Bacterial large subunit ribosomal RNA", at positions 2243 to 2472 of the family's 2925-position model. Lineage: Bacteria; Bacillati; Bacillota; Clostridia; Peptostreptococcales; Peptostreptococcaceae. The record is from RNAcentral.